This 468-nucleotide ribosomal RNA is filed under the name uncultured bacterium. RNAcentral describes it as "partial 16S ribosomal RNA". It matches the Rfam family "Bacterial small subunit ribosomal RNA", at positions 28 to 507 of the family's 1533-position model. The record is from RNAcentral.
GACGAACGCUGGCGGCGUGCUUAACACAUGCAAGUCGAACGGAAAGGCCCUGCUUUUGUGGGGUGCUCGAGUGGCGAACGGGUGAGUAACACGUGAGUAACCUGCCCUUGACUUUGGGAUAACUUCAGGAAACUUGGGCUAAUACCGGAUAGGAGCUCCUGCUGCAUGGUGGGGGUUGGAAAGUUUCGGCGGUUGGGGAUGGACUCGCGGCUUAUCAGCUUGUUGGUGGGGCAGUGGCUUACCAAGGCUUUGACGGGUAGCCGGCCUGAGAGGGUGACCGGCCACAUUGGGACUGAGAUACGGCCCAGACUCCAACGGGAGGCAGCAGUGGGGAAUAUGGCACAAUGGGCGGAAGCGUGAGGCAGCGACGCCGCGUGCGGGAUGACGUCUUGCGGGUUGUAAACCGCUUUCGCCUGUGACGAGGCGUGAGUGACGGUAAUGGGUAAAGAAGCACCGGCUAACUACGUG